CUCCAACCUUGUUCUCUGCAAACCUUUCAACACCAUCCCUUCAACGUUAAACCCUCUUAAUUUCUUGAAUUUUCAUAUCUUUUAUUUCCUCCAUUAACUUUUGGAAAUGAACUCCAUGAGGAUAAUGGCUAUCAACCUCCCAAUUAUUGGUUGUUUGUUACUUGCACUUGUUCAGUUUGGCUUUGGUCAGGCCAUUCCUCCUUCUCCUGCCGCCCCUGCUCCUUCCAAUGACGGUGUAGCGAUUGAUCAAGGGAUUGCAUAUGCUCUUCUGCUUGUUGCGCUCGUCAUUACAUAUUUAGUCCAUUAAUUAGUAAUUGUAGCAUAUUUUAUUUGGCUAUGGUUACGUUGUAAUAUAAAUAGAUAAUCAAUUCAUUAUUGUCUUAUUCUUUAAUUAUUAAUCAUAUUUUUUGUUUAUUUAUUUA
Molecule: long non-coding RNA, 422 nt
Organism: Ipomoea nil (Japanese morning glory)
Lineage: Eukaryota; Viridiplantae; Streptophyta; Magnoliopsida; Solanales; Convolvulaceae
Exons: 2
Source: RefSeq, a predicted model, not a curated record